RNAcentral lists this long non-coding RNA (456 nucleotides) under Carica papaya (papaya). RNAcentral's name for it is "long non-coding RNA (CPAP_LNC006802)". Lineage: Eukaryota; Viridiplantae; Streptophyta; Magnoliopsida; Brassicales; Caricaceae. The record is from RNAcentral.
CAACAACUAAUAGACCACUAAAUUAAGCAAAUUCAUUUAUCAAUAAUAAAACCAUUUACCGUCCACUUACCAUAGUAAGAUUUAUAGAAAACAAUAACAUUAUAUGUAUCAUGAUUCCGUAUAUAGUUGGCAACAUAGCACAUAUUAUACUUUCAUAUUCAAAUCAUCAAACAACAAUUGCCCCUUUUUUCACCAGCCUAAUGGUAUCUACGGAGGUUCAUAGGGGUGUCUCCGCUAUGCGUGAACCUUUUCCUUUAACAUUCUCAAUUACAGAUCAUUCCCAUACCCCAUCCGGUAUAAAUGUUAAAUUAUCAAACCUCAAUACCCCAUCUGGUAUGAGGGUAAAGCGGGCCGUCUCCAUACUCCGUCCGGUAUGAGUGCUAAGUUACCAAGUCUCCAUAUUAUCAAACCUCAAUACCCCAUCUGGUAUGAGGGUAAAGCGGGCCGUCUCCAUAC